UUUGUGGUCUCUCAGGAAAAAGAUAAAUAAGAUUAUGCUAUUACUCUGUGGCUUUGUGUUUGCCAUAGAAUUUCUUUUUCAGAUUUCAGGGUAAACAGAACAAAGGAUCACUUCUACAAUUCAUGUUUUUCCCAGAGAAUCUUCUGGCAUCUCAUUAUUAGGAGAAAGUAGCAAGAAAAAGGAUUAAGAAAAUAGAAGGAACUUGGUGAUGUGUCAAACAUAUUAUGUUCAUAAUACUCAUAGUUAUCAUGACCGUGGGGGAAUCAGGGCUUCAAGUAAAUAUGCUAUGAAGAGGACUUUAUGAAAAAAUUGAUCUUCAUGUUUGAGGGCAAUAGAAGGAUUCUUUUGCCCUGAAUACCAGUGAAUAAAUAUGGACUUGGGCCACAGACACUGGACAGAGAUUGUCUCUGGGAAGACUGACAUGCCUUCGGCAUGAAGAUGCUACAAGAAAAAGACAUGUAAUUAAGGGAAAGGAGAAAGGCUUUAACCAGGGUCUUUAAAGAGACUGUGAUAUGGGGAAAACAUUGUGUGGAAGAUGUGACCAAAGAUCUCUUAGGUUAGAGAGUGGAAGGAAAUGAGACUGUUUAAAAUUCCACUGUGUAUCUGUUCCACAGGAAGAAUAACAUUCCUGUGUGGUGCCGCUUGCCACUCCGUGUUUAGAAACAAUUAAAAGAUGCAAAUAUUUA
This is a long non-coding RNA of Mesocricetus auratus (golden hamster), 686 nucleotides long. RefSeq lists it as uncharacterized. The transcript has 2 exons. Lineage: Eukaryota; Metazoa; Chordata; Mammalia; Rodentia; Cricetidae. The record is from RefSeq and is a predicted model, not a curated record.